Molecule: transfer RNA, 71 nt
Filed under: Bos taurus (domestic cattle)
Lineage: Eukaryota; Metazoa; Chordata; Mammalia; Artiodactyla; Bovidae
Also listed under: 1 other name
Rfam family: tRNA
About the family: Transfer RNA (tRNA) molecules are approximately 80 nucleotides in length.
Source: Rfam by way of RNAcentral
UCCCAGGUGGCUCAGUGGUAAAGAAUCUGCCUGCAAUGCAGGAGACCUGGGUUCAAUUCCUGGGUUGGGAA